AAAGACUACUGGGGGUGCCUUCGGGCUGAGAGAAGAGGUGUUCUUCAACUCCAACGACCUGAUCCGGAUCAUACCGGCGGAGGGAAGUAGCAAUCACUGACG
RNAcentral lists this non-coding RNA (102 nucleotides) under Domibacillus enclensis. RNAcentral describes it as "TPP sequence". It matches the Rfam family "TPP riboswitch aptamer (THI element)". From Rfam's summary of the family: Vitamin B(1) in its active form thiamin pyrophosphate (TPP) is an essential coenzyme that is synthesised by coupling of pyrimidine and thiazole moieties in bacteria. The previously detected thiamin-regulatory element, thi box was extended, resulting in a new, highly conserved RNA secondary structure, the THI element, which is widely distributed in eubacteria and also occurs in some archaea. Analysis of operon structures identified a large number of new candidate thiamin-regulated genes, mostly transporters, in various prokaryotic organisms. Lineage: Bacteria; Bacillati; Bacillota; Bacilli; Caryophanales; Bacillaceae. The record is from RNAcentral.